GAACAAGCCAGCAAGCAACAUCCCUCCAUCUGCAUCAGCUCCUGCCUCCAGGUUCCUGCGGUGUUGGAGUUCCUGUCCAGACUUCUUCGAUGAUGGACUACGAUGUGACAGUAUUGUCUUCCAAAUAAAAUAAUUGCACUCAAAUUCUCAUAAGGGACAAGUUGUGGAGAGAUCUCCUGUAGGACAAUGGGAGGUAAUCAGUGCAGAACGAAAAGAAUGAAUAAGCUCAUGCUAGUCGGAAGUUCGGGAGAGGAUCAUCUGGACUAUCUUCGUCUUCAGAUGAUAAGCUGUGAGAACUGACCGUUUCUAAACAGCUCUUCGAACACAAUCAUCUACACGUGCUGGAAAAAAGGCUCGGAAUAUUUGAUAAUGCCGGCAAGUCUAAGUUCACACUACUUACGGUAUACUGCCGAAACAGAGAGACAUAAUAAUUGCCAAGGAGCAAAGACCGCGUACCUUCCGUGUAUGGAAGUGCAUGUGCAACAUGCAUGCAGUAUACACACCAGCGUGUGUGCAUGUAGAGGCCAGAGGUUGACACGGGGUGUCUUGCCCACUAUUUUUGUCAGAUGAAGUCUUCCACCGAUCCUGAUGCUCACAGCUUGACAGCUGACUGUCCAGCAAACUCCUCAGAUCCUCCUAGCUCUGUGUUCCAGAACUUGGAUUAUGGGUCCACAGCCUCAUCUGGUUUUCGUUUGUUUUUGUUGGUUCUGGGAAUUUGAACUCGGAUCCUUAUGCCUGUGCAGCAAGCACUUAUUUGGGGGACCCUGUGAAAUGGAUAGAGAGAAUAUUAACUCCUUUCUACAAGUG
Mus musculus (house mouse) is the source of this 807-nucleotide long non-coding RNA. RefSeq annotates it as RIKEN cDNA 4930428G15 gene. The transcript has 3 exons. NCBI's taxonomy places the organism in Eukaryota, Metazoa, Chordata, Mammalia, Rodentia, Muridae. The record is from RefSeq and is marked validated.